Long non-coding RNA from Melospiza melodia melodia, 2977 nucleotides. RefSeq lists it as uncharacterized. The transcript has 3 exons. The record is from RefSeq and is a predicted model, not a curated record. Lineage: Eukaryota; Metazoa; Chordata; Aves; Passeriformes; Passerellidae.
CCGGCAUUUUUCUCUAAAUCGGCAGUAAAUACAGCUGAGUAAAAUUAGCUUGGUUUUCUUCCUUCUUUUGUAACUGAACUGUUUUUAUUAAAAAUUCUAUUUGAAUAUGUAGAAAAAGUGGGGAUGUCCUGUAAUAUAUCGUAGCUUUUCUUGUUUACAGGGUGCUCAGAAAGCAUGCGUCCCUUAGAGUCCCACAGAAAGGUUCUCAGUGCGCUCUCUAUCAAGGUAUGUAUUUACAAAUAAGUGAUCCCUUUAGAUAUUUGCCUGUGUACCUUUUCCUGUAAUUCAGAGCUUGCGUUCUGUGGGUUGUAUGAUAAAGCUGUAAAACAUGUAAGAAUGGUUUUGCAAGUCUGAAUCGUUGAAGGCAGCAAUAAGUGGAUUUAGAGCCUGUUCUUGAGCAGACAAAGGGAAAAAGUGUGACUCUGAUGCUGAACUUGUCAUUUUUCAUUUGACUUGUCUUGAAUGAUUUAGGAAUAGAGAGAACUAGAAAAAGAGAGAAAUAGAAUCGAUUAUUGAGCAGUCCUCAAAUGCUCACCAUAAUUCAGUGUAGAGCCAAAGGGAAGGGUGAUGGAACAGAGCUCUGUGCUUUGGAAGGAAAUAAAUUUAAACCUGAUCUCCGCACAGAGUCUCACUAACUUCUGUGGUUUUAAAAUACAAAAUACGUUUAGGAAGUGUUGGAAGUUAGUAUUUUGGGAAAGAAACGGCAGUUCCACAGAACAUUCCAUUUCACAGAGGCUCUAGGAAGGAUUCAUGUUGUAACUGCUGUCACUGCAAUCAGUUGGUGGUUCAGCCUUGAAACGUGCACUUGGCCUUCUAUAAAGCGCUGUUUUGUUUGCCUUUCAUUGCUAUGAGUCUUGAUAAAUUGGAGAAGAGCCCAAGAGAAAUUUUUCAUCCCUUGAUAUAAAAGGGAUCGGUGAAUUUUAACUUUGGAGUCCUCUAUGCUAAGGAUGCUCAGCUUACAGAUGAUGAAAUGUUCAGUAAUGGUGAGUUUUUCACGUUCUCUUUAAUUGCUGUGCUGAUCUGAAUAAGAAAAAAACAAAAGCAAGAGGGAAAAAAAAGGAUGGUUUAUUAUUUUUUACGCUGUUAUGUUUGUUUCCUCAGUAUUUGCUGCAGCUCUGCUUACCCAAGCUUUGUGUUCCUUCUGUCCCACUGGGAGUUGCCCAGUUUGGUUGCAUCUGGUGAAAUUCACCCUGAGACCUUACACAACUAGCUCAAACUACGUGAGAGCCAUUUGCAGUUCUCUCCAGACACCUGGAGAAUGGGUGACGUUUCUGAGGGUCUGGCAAGUGUACUUCUAUCAAAACUCAGUCUGUGAAGUUUCUGGGGAAAACCCUUCUGUGUCCUGAAGGGUUCAAACUCCUGUGAGGAUCCAUUUAUCAGGUGCUCACCUGGAUGGUUCCAGCUCUUAAAGUGAACACUUGUACUCUUACCCUGUAGUUUACAUCUAUUGUAUUUUUGUUAUUUUGCAAGAUUUUUUGUCUUUGCAAAAUAUUGUGCAUUUCACUCUUUGGAACCUCUCAGAUGGUUCUUUGGUGCAGCACCACCCCAUGGGACACUUGGCUGCUGUCCUGAAGGGGAUGGUCACUAGAAUUGUAAAUUCUGGAGAGUUUAUAAGUCUUCUGUCCCCAGGGAGGUACCAUGCUUUGUUUACUUUUGUUCUGUUUGUUAGGCGCUGCUUCUCGUUGCAAGUAUGAAUUUCAAACUGCCCUGUUCUUAUUUUAACUGUUUUCCUGGUUCUCUCCGUCCGACAGGGAAAGACUCUCAUAUCCUCGUCGUCGGGCUCGGUGCUGUCCAAGAAGAUACAGAGACUAAAAAAAUCAUAAGCAGCAAAAUAUGACUGCAGGGAAAAGAAGCUGGAGAGAACAGAAUGUGAUAUUGUUAUCCUUACCCUGUAUUAGAAACAUCCGCUGUGCCUUGAUGCUGGCAGCUGCCAGGGGCUUGUUAGCUCUUUGUAGGCAGGUGUAGGUGUUCACUUGUAGGUUUUUUCUCUGGACAAGUCAAUUCAAACUUUGCUAAGCUUAUAUAUGCAAAUUACUCUCUAGCACAGUCCAGCAUGACAUUUUUGAAUGUUGUAAAAAUACCAUGUUACUUGGAAAUUGCUAAUGAUGAGAAGCUUUAGGGGAAAAUAAGAUGUCAGUGUUGGGAGAUGUGAGAAGAAUUUUGAGGGGAUGUUAGACUGAAAUAAAGCACACUUGAAGCUGGACUGGCAUGCUGGCAGAUCCCCUAUUAAACAGUAGUGCUGAGAUUAGCCUGGGGGUUGCCCAUUGUUUCUGUAGAAAUAAAUGUUUUCUGGUCUUCAGAAGUAAGCUGCUUUGAAAAGCUGGAAGGCGCAGCAUAGUGACAAUCCGUGUGCUUCGCAUUAAAAAUAGAUUUCAGAAGGGUCCUAGGCUUUUGUCUUUUCCUAGAAGUCGAUGUAAUCCUGUCGAGGAGUUUUUAAUUCUGUGCUGCCAUGUCAUCAAUCAGGGCCCUGUCGUACUAAUCAUCAUACAGAUGCAAAACAAAAAAUCAGACCCCGUCCCAAGCACUUAGAGCCCAGAAUACGAUUUCCUCAGGCUGCCAUUUGUGUGCCAUCGGUACUCACCAUGGAAGCGAGCUGGGGAUUGUUGCACCCGUUGGGAACAAACCGCUUCUUGUCACACAGAAAUGGAAUUGGGACGACGCCUCGGCCAGCCCCUCUGUGCCAUCGUCUCCUGAAUCUGCAGCAGAGCAGUUCCAGUCCAUCCGGGCACGUGCAAUCCAGUUCCUGAUGAUCUGAGCACACGGAGCAGUGCUCAGCUGCUGUGGGGGGCUCAGGGAAGGCAGAGUGUGCAUUGUCAUCUUCCUGAACCUACAGACAAAUCAAAACCCUCAGUGAGCAGAAUUUGUUGCAGACUCAGUGCACGCUGUGCCGGCCUCCCGGGAGUGUGAGGAGCUCAUGUGUGCUACUUUUUGCUUUAGGACGCUCUGAGGUAUUUAUUCCUUUUGGGAUACGUGAUGA